RNAcentral lists this ribosomal RNA (591 nucleotides) under Bacillus sp. CH82a_3T. RNAcentral describes it as "bacterial SSU rRNA". It matches the Rfam family "Bacterial small subunit ribosomal RNA", at positions 56 to 632 of the family's 1533-position model. The record is from RNAcentral. Lineage: Bacteria; Bacillati; Bacillota; Bacilli; Caryophanales; Bacillaceae.
UGCAGUCGAGCGGAAGAAGGGAGCUUGCUCCCGGAUGUUAGCGGCGGACGGGUGAGUAACACGUGGGUAACCUGCCUGUAAGACUGGGAUAACUCCGGGAAACCGGAGCUAAUACCGGAUAGUUCCUUGAACCGCAUGGUUCAAGGAUGAAAGACGGUUUCGGCUGUCACUUACAGAUGGACCCGCGGCGCAUUAGCUAGUUGGUGAGGUAACGGCUCACCAAGGCGACGAUGCGUAGCCGACCUGAGAGGGUGAUCGGCCACACUGGGACUGAGACACGGCCCAGACUCCUACGGGAGGCAGCAGUAGGGAAUCUUCCGCAAUGGACGAAAGUCUGACGGAGCAACGCCGCGUGAGUGAUGAAGGUUUUCGGAUCGUAAAGCUCUGUUGUUAGGGAAGAACAAGUGCAAGAGUAACUGCUUGCACCUUGACGGUACCUAACCAGAAAGCCACGGCUAACUACGUGCCAGCAGCCGCGGUAAUACGUAGGUGGCAAGCGUUGUCCGGAAUUAUUGGGCGUAAAGGGCUCGCAGGCGGUUUCUUAAGUCUGAUGUGAAAGCCCCCGGCUCAACCGGGGAGGGUCAUUGGAAA